CCGCGACUUCUCCAAAAUUUCCACCGGCGCAAUAGAAAAUAUACACUUAAUUUUCUCAAAAGCGCCGAAUGCUUUUCACAAAUUCUCGCAAGCUCGGCGGGAGGGAGAGAGUAACCUACACCCCUCUCAACCCUAGGAACUCCACCUCCUUUGAAAAUGUGCUAACACCAACAAGUGUCCACCACCAAAGUGCAUGUGUGUUAGUUUUUCACAAAUAUUUUCAUCAAAGAAGUUAGGUUAGCACUUUACUAGAUCCUAAUGCAUAUGCUCAAGAUAUGGACAUAGUAGCACUUCAUUCGAGAGAUGACCGUGAUUUUCCCUCUUGAUAGUCAGCUAUCUAUCCUAAAUCCGGUCAUUCACUUCUUUACUCAACUAUGACCAGCAAAAGUAAAACCCUAUGUUUAUACCUUUGCCUUGAUAACUUUGCUCCUCGUCUAUCACCUUGAUCUUCACUUCAUGCUUCAUCCUUUGUGAUCAUGUGGCCACCUUUCCAUGCCACCAUACACCUUCAUCACAUGUGUUGUUAUGCCUAACUCAAAUCACUUAAACACAAGGCAUUAACAACUUGAUGUCAUUAAUUACCAAAACCAAACUUAGGCUUUCAUCAGCCUGCCGCCGAUGUUUCCCGCUCCACGUGCCGUGUGAGUUUUCCCCGGAAUCAAUUGGGCGGCGCGCCGAUGUUACCAAGGGAGCCGCAGUCUCUGCAUGCGAGGACGGGCCACCACGUGGAGUGCCCACAACCAUGUAUUUUCAUAACGUAGACUCGUAGUUGGUGUCGUUGUUUUCAAUUUUUUUAUUUUCCUUUCAUGUUUCCAUUCUUCUUAUUUUUUUAUUUAUUUAUUUUUCUAUUCUUGUUUCAUUUAUUUUCUUCUUUUUCAUUUUUUGUUUUUUAGUCUUAUUCUUUUUUCUUUUAUUAUUUUCCUUUUUCUUUUAUUUUCUUUGUUUUCCAUAUUAUAAUUUUUUAUUUUAUUUUAUUUUCUAUUUUUUCGUCAUUUCUUCGUGUGCUUCUUUUUAAUUUUUUGUUUUAUGUGAUUAUGUAUUAUUCUUUAAUUUUUAUAUUUUUUUGUUUCUUUUAUUUUUUUUCCAAAUUUUACAUUUGCUUCCUUUUAUUAUCAUUUUUUAUUUGUCUUCUCUAAUUUAAUUUUAUUUUAUUUUUGUGAUUUUUUCAUUAUUAUUUGCAAUUUUUUUGUCCUUGUUUAAGUGAUUCAUAUAUUUUAUGUGUUCUACAUAUUUAUCAUUUGUUAAUUAUGUUUUUAUGUAUAAGUUUCUUCUUUUUGUUGUUUUAGUCUAAUAAAAUGUUUCCUUUUUGUUAUUUUACUCUAAUAAAUUACAUUGAUAUUUUUUACUUUUUUAUUUUUCUUAUAUAUGUAUGUUCGCGUGGUGUAUAUUUGAUGUUCUAUGAUGCGUUAUGUCAUGUUUAUGUAGUAUUCAUAUAAUGUUUUAUGAUAUUUUUUAUUGUUCAUGUAGUAUAUAUGUGAUGCUGAUGUAAUAUACACGUGAUGUUUUAUGAUGUUUUUUGUGAUGUUAACUUAUGAUUUCUAUAAUAUUUUUAGUGAUGUCCUAUGGUGUAUUUAGUAAUGUUCUAUUGUGUAUUUAGUGAUAUUCACUUAGUAUACACGUGGUAUUCUGUAAUGUAUUUAGUAAUAUUCACAUAAUAUAUAUGCGAUGUCUAUAAUGUAUUUAGUCAUGUUCUAUUGUGUAUUUAGUAAUGUUCAUUUACUACACAUGUGGUGUUCUAUAGUUUUUUUAGAUAUUUAAAAAGUAUUAAUGUGAUGUUCUUUUAAUCUUUCUCUAUUUCGUGUGUUAUUUUCUAUGCUUUGCUCUAUAUUUUAUUAUUUGUAUUUAAGAAUAUUCAAAUUAUCUUGAUGGAAUGUUCACGUUGUAUAUAUGUGAUGUUCAUAUAGUAUACCUACGAUGUUCUAUGAUAUAUUUUUAGAUGUUCAAGUAUAAUUUAUUUCUACUGUUAUAUGAGUUUUCCUUUUUUUUCUUUCUUCUGAUUUGUUUUUCCUGUUACUUUUUUUAGUGUUUCAUGAAAUGAUGUGGUAUUUUUAGUAUAAGAACAUUGUUCUUGUGAUUGCUGGAUUUCUUUUUGGACUUUAAACGGUACAAUCAUUUAAUAAUAAGACUAUUACAUAAUUUAUCAUAAACAUGUAUGUGGUGUAGUGGUGGUAAGAAACUUCUUUAAAAGCAGUAGAUUCUUGUGUUCAAAUCCUGACUUUGUGACAAUUUUUUGUUUUUAUUCUCAAGGUUUGUAUCAGGAAUGGACCAGCUGAGUUGGGCCGAAAACGUCCCAAGGGCUGUAGCAAUAACGACCAAACUGAGUUGGGCCAAAAAUGAAGGGUGGGAAGUGUUACGAGUAGAAUGCGAGAGUACGAGAACAGAGAGGAAUAGAAUGAACUCAGGUGUUUCUUUAUUCAUUGAUCACGGGUAUUUAUACAGUCGGGGGGGGAGAGGAAACUCUCGCCCCAAGUAAACUCGUGCCCACGAUGAGUCGUGGGUGAUAUCACGGAGGUGGAACCGGUCUCCACGGGUACGUGCGUAGUCUUGGGUGAUAUCCCGUGGGCCAUCGUGGGGGAAGUCGUAGUUAGGAUAGAUCUCCCGUAAAGGGAAUCCGAGGAGAUGAGAUCACCCCGGAAAAUAUCCGUAACACUCCCCCUUGAUCGAAUCACUUGUUGAGAUCAAUGAAUCGUAUUGCUCCUCCAAAAAUUCCUGUAGGAUAAAAACGAGGAAAAAUACGUGUGUAUAUGUGCUAUAGUAAAACUCCUUAAAACCGCUUGGGAAAAGAAGGAGAAAAUUAUAGCACUUAAUGAUUGCCUCAUUGUAAACUAAUAUGAGAAAACCUUUGCAGGAGAAAAACUCAUGUUGUAGUUUAGAGGACAAUAUGUGUCUUUGAUACUCCUUUAAAAACCCCUGUGGGGAAAACAAGGAAUAUGACACUCUUGUGUUAAUAUUAUCUCAUUAAAAACUCCUUAUGAGAAACCUUGUGAGGAAAGACUCAUAGAGAGAAAAGAGUAUAAUAUGAUGGUGUAGACAGGCCAAUGUCUAGGAGAUUUCUCCCCCUGAACUUUGCAAAUCCCUAAGUCGUCGCAUACCAAUUCCUUUGACACAUUUUUCAAAUGAGGAAGCUGGUAGGGACUUAGUGAAUAGAUCAGCAAGAUUGUCGCAUGAUUUGGUUUUCAAGAUAUCAAUCUCUCCCUUUUGUUGUAAUUCAUGAGGAUAGAACAACUUUGGGGAGAUGUGUUUGUUGAUAUUGCUCUUGAUGUAGCCUGUCUCCAUCUGUGUAACACAAGCCGCAUUAUCUUCAUAGAUAAUGGUUGGAGCUGUGAUAGCUUUAAGACCACACGACUGCUGUAUGUGGUUGAUCAUUCUGCGAAGCCAAACGCAUUCACGUGAGGCCUCAUAUAAUGCGACUAUUUCAGAAUGAUUCGUGGACGUUGUUGCCAAGGUUUGCUUGGAUGAUGUCCAUGAUAUGGCGGUUCCGUUUUGUAAAAAUACGAAACCGGUUUGUGAUCUGCCAUUAUGGGGGUCUGAUUGAUAUCCAGCAUCGGUAUAUCCUAUCAUCUCGGAAUUUGUUCCUCUUUGGAAGAAUAAUCCGAGAUCCCUUGUGCCAUUAACAUAUCUGAGGAUCUGUUUUACUCCUGUCCAAUGUCUCUUGGUAGGAGCGGCACUGUGCCUUGCUAGCAAAUUCACUGCGAAAGCGAUGUCAGGCCUGGUGCUAUUGGCAAGGUACAUCAGUGCUCCGACGGCACUAAGGUAUGGGACAUGAGGUCCUAGGAUUUCCUCCCCCUCAUCUUGUGGUCUGAAUGGAUCAGUGUUUAGUCCCAAAGACCGAACAACCAUAGGGGUUUUGGAAGGAUAUGCUUUGUCCAUAUUGAAUCUCUCCAAUACUUUCUGGACAUAUGCAGAUUGAUGCACAAAGAUUCCAGUUGAAAGAUGCUCAAGCUGUAGGCCUAAGCAGAAUUUGGUUUUACCCAAAUCCUUCAACUCGAACUCCGUCUUAAGGUGUUUGCAUGCCUCAUCAAUAUCUUGUUUGUGGCCGAUGAUAUUUAAAUCAUCAACAUACACCGAUAUGAUGCAGAAUCCCGUUUGGGAUUUCUUGAUGAAGACACAUGGGCAAUCAUCACUGUUGGAGUAGCCCUUCUGCAGAAGGUACUCGCUGAGUCGGUUAUACCACAUUCUUCCCGACUGCUUUAAGCCAUAGAGUGAUUUCUCUAGCUUUACACAAUACAUGUUGCGAUUUGCGUUUUGAUUCGGUAUUGGGAUUCCGUCGGGAACCUUCAUGUAUAUGUCCGAAUCGAGUGACCCAUAGAGAUAUGCAGUCACUACGUCCAUCAACUGCAUAGAUAGACGAUUUUGUACAGCCAGAGAGAUUAAGUAUCGGAAUGUUAUUCCACCCAUGACUGGAGAGUAUGUUUCAUUGAAGUCAAUGCCGGGUCUCUGCGUGAACCCUUGUGCUACAAGCCUCGCUUUGUGUCUCACCACCUCAUUGUUCUCGUUCCGCUUUCGGACGAAAACCCACUUGAAUCCCACAGGGAAUACUUGUGGAGGUGUAGGUAUUACUUGUGAGAAUACCUGUCUUUUUGUGAGCGAGGAUAUUUCUGCUUGGAUUGCAUCUUUCCAUUGGUUCCAGUCCGAGCGCGUUUUGCACUCUGCCAUGGUCUUAGGAUCUGGAUCAUUUUCAAGGAUUUCGGCAAUCAUUGCGGAGAAAUAUGAGUCGACAAUUGUAGUCUUUCUAUCAAAUGACUCUCCAGUUUCUGCAUAGUUGAUGGAAAUUUCAUGGACCCUUUCCGAUGCAUCAUCAUUUCCCAAGAUGGUCGCAUCAGGGUAUUCCGAUGUCCCAGCAUCAGUAAUUGAGUGCACUGUUGAUGUGGGAUGUGAAGGUUGAACCUCCACUGGGUGUUUCUCAACAUGAGGUUGAGCUACAUUUACUGGAUCAGAAGAUUUUGUCUUCCGUUUCCUUUGCUUGCUAGAAGCUGUAUCCGUGGAGAUAGCCGUACUUCUCCCCCUCUUACUAGGGAGUUGAGUAGUUUUGUUUGGUACCUCUACUCUUUCCGGUACAUUUCUCGCUGGAUUAUAGGAUUUUGUAACACCCUUAUAAUCAGUAAAUGCGUCUGGCACGUUGUUUGCAAUGUGUUGCAAAUUUAUGAUUUUCUGAACUUGGAGUUCAGAUUCUGAAGUACGUGGAUCUGAGUUGGGUAUGUCUGGGGCAUCCCAAUUGAUUUCCUGGCAUUGUUUGUGAUGUGGUAAGUCUCCCCCUAAUGCCGGGAAAUGAUCUUCAUUGAAGAUACAAUCAGCGUACCGGGCCGUAAAGAGGUCCCCUGUGGUGGGCUCCAGAUACUUUAUGAUCGACGGAGAUUUGUAUCCCACAUAGAUCCCCAGUUUUCUAUGGGGGCCCAUUGUUGUACGCUUCGGUGGUGAGAUCGGUACGUAUGUAGCGCAACCGAACUUUCGCAGAUGGGAAAUGCUUGGGGGAUUUCCAUGUACUAGUUGCAACGGGGACGUUGCAUGGUAUGCAGUUGGUCGCAAUUGAAUCAGUUCAGCAGCGUGUAAGACUGCAUGACCCCAACAUGAGGUUGGUAGAUUGCAAUUCUGCAAUAGCGGUCUAGCGAUGAGCUUGAUUCUCUUGAUGAGAGACUCGGCUAACCCAUUUUGUGUGUGGACAUAUGGGACAGAAUGCUGUACUUGUAUUCCUAAGGCCAUACAAUAGUCAUUGAAGGCACGAGAGGAAAAUUCAGCAGCGUUAUCCAUCCUAAUGGAUUUUAUUUGAUGUUCAGGUUGUUGCGCUUUGAGUUUGAUAACUUGCGCAAUUAUUUUGGCAAAAGCAUGGUUUCGUGUCGAUAGAAGAGACACAUGAGACCAUCGUGUGGAUGCGUCUAUUAGAACCAUGAAGUACCUGAACGGUCCCGAUAAAGGAUUUAUCGGGCCACAUAUGUCCCCUUGAAUGCGUUCAAGGAAGUUGAGUGGUUCAACUUUGAUUUUGAGGGAAGAGGGCCUCAAAAUUAAUUUCCCUGUUGCACAUGCGGUGCAAGUAUAAUCUGAGGAUUGGGGAAACUUUGCAUUGGUUAGCGAGUGACCAACAGAAUUGCUAGUAAUUUUUCUCAUCAUCCCUAUGCCAGGGUGACCAAGGCGAUCAUGCCAAGUUUGGAAUGCAUUGACAUUCUGAAAAAUUACUUUGUACGCAACAUGUUGUACGGGUUUUAUGUAUGAAUAGUACAAUCCAGACGAAGUUGAGGGAAUUCUUUCGAGAGUAUCUCUGCCAUAUCCGUUAUCCUUUGUAAUGAGGAGGAACUCCUCAUUAUUUUGGUGAUGGGUUUCGAUAUGAUACCCAUUUUUGCGGAUAUCUCUAUAACUCAAUAAGGUACGAGUUGAAUCAGGAUACAGAAGUGCAUCCUCGAUUGUAAUCGUUGUACCCAUAGGAAGCGUAAUAAUGGCUCUUCCAGAGCCUGCUAUUACAGCAUCGCGUCCAGCGAUUGUUAAAACAUUUCCUUUGCUCUUUGUGAGAGUUUGGAAAUAUUUUAUUUCCCUGAGUAUAGAGUUAGUGGUGCCACUGUCCACUAGGCACAUUUCCUCAUCCAUCGGAUUGACUCCCGUACAAUCUAUGAAAAUAGAGAAUAUAAAAGAGAAUGAAAUUCUCAACAUGAAUAUAUAUAUGAAAUAUAAACAUUUAUUGAUGUUGAAUUGUGCAUAAGUCAAUGAACAUCAAACAGAGUGUAGCAAAAACAAAUUGUCAAUUAUUACAAUCCCGAAGGCGAAUGAUGAAAUUAAAAUUUCAAAUGACUAUCAAUCUAGUUGUAGUCGCCGAACAGAUCAUCAGAAUUGUAUUCAAUGAUCAUGUUGUUGGUGGAGUCAUUUGCCAUGCCAUCAGGUGGAAGAGGCGCCAUUGUGUUGCUCGGUCCCGCUGGGGCGGGGUUGGAACAUCCGGGGGCUGCCAGAUCGUUGAAGUGUGCUUCAGACGGUUGUCCACCUUGGUUGGAGCGUCCUUGGUUGGAGCGUCCUCGUCCCACGGAAUGCAAGUACAGUUCCACAAGGUGCUUAGGGGUGCGGCAUUUCUUAGUCGGGUGGUUGUAGCAACCACACUUUGUACAAGUUGAGGACUUGUCUUUUGACUUAGAGUUGUUGCCUUUGCCCUUAGUACCUCGAGGCUUACGGGGUCCCUUGCGCUUGUUUUUGCCUUUGGAGGAUCUAGGAUUGCCAUUUUUGUUGGCAUCCUUUGGUGUCUGUUUCUGAGCAUUUGCAUGUACUUCGGGCAAGGGCUUGGCACCGACAGGGCCUUGAUUGGAGUUCCAUAUGAGGAGCUCAUUGUGCCUCUCAGCCUGAAGUAAUGUUUUAAUGAGAUCAGAAUAGACUGUGAAUCCCCUCUCACGGUAUUGCUGUUGGAGGAUCAUUUGAGCGGGAAGCAUGGUAGACAAAGUCUUUUCAAUUUUCUCCGCAUCAGAUGGCUCCUUUUCACAAAACCUCAGUUUGGAACUGAGUUUGUGCAUGGCAUGGUUAUAUUCAUUCACAGAUUUGAAAUCUUGAAUGCGGAGGUGGUUCCACUCAUGAGUGGCCUCCGGGAGAAUAACUGCCUUUUGUUGCUCAUACCGCUGUUGCAAAGCAAGCCAGAGAGCCCGUGGGUCCUCUUCCAUCAGAUAUUCAGCUUUGAGAUCUGAAUGGAUGUGGUUCCUUAUUAUGUAUAAGGCAUGGUACUUGGAUGGUUCAGACAAUGGAGCAUCUCCCUGUUUGGGAGUGUCAAUUGCCCUAUACAUUCCGCGUAACGAUAGACUCACUUUGAGAUCCAUCGCCCAUGUAGGGAAGUUGUGUCCAUCAAGAGCUAGCUCGGCAAAUUCCUUCUUAGAAGAAACUUGGGCAUCAGACUCUUUGGUGGCCAUUGCCUACAUGUUUAUUUGCAUAAUCUUAAUUAAUUGCGGGGUUGUAAAAUUAACAAGAAUGUAAUUGCAUAUUUAUAUAACAAUGUAAAAUUGUAUAUGUAAAGCAAUGUAAAAUUGCGUAUGUAAGACAAUAUAAAAUUGCGUAUGUAAAGCAAUGUAAAAUUGCGUAUGUAAAUAACAAGGUAAACUUGUUUAUGUGUAGCAAGGUAAACUUGCAUAUGUUUUAUGGUAUUUUGAUUUCUCAUUUUGUGGAACAUAGGUAGUCACCAUGGAGGUGUAGACCAUUUUAUAUUUUCACUUUGGGAUGUAGUCCUUGUAUGUUUAUUAUUAAAUUUGGGAGAGCACUUUGAGGAAUAGAUCCCGCAGUAGUAUGAGUACUACCUUGUGUUCGCCAAAAUGAUAAUAAAGUAAGGUGACAUCUAGUGAAAAAUAAUAUUCCAAAUAGGGAGAAAAAUUGACCAUAAAAAUAUUUACAUAUAUACAUGUGAUAGGGAAUUGUAAAGACAAAACGCGUUCGACAUGUAAAUUCUCCAUUCAUAAUAUGAUUGCGGAAUGUAAAAAUAUUUACAAUGCAAUAUAUACAUCAGUGUCUAAAUUUACAAGAAAAUUAGACUAAGAAACUGAUGUAAUUUAGGGAAUGAAAAAUUGCUAUGUAAAUAAAUAAAUAAAAUUAGCUAAUGCAUAAUAAUAAAAAGCCAAUGAUAACUGGCCCAGGCUGAAAGCUCGCAGGCCCCAACCUGGGCCUGGGCCACCAAUUUGGCCCAAUUGGGGGGGGGGGAUUUGGGCCAUAUAUAAGGCCAGGGGCUAGGGUUUCCAAACCCUAACCCCCAGCCUCCCAGCCGCCGCCGCCAGCGCCCUGGCCAGGAGGGCCUCCAAGCCGCCGCCGCCGCCAGGGGGCGCGCCCCUGCGUGUGGGCCCGCGGGGCCACCUCGUGCCGCGCGCCCUUGUGGGGCCAGCGCAGAGGAGUGGCUGGCCAUUCCGGUCAGGGCACAGAGGGCCGCGUCGUCGCGAGCUUCGCAGCCGCGGGCGGAGUCGCGCGCUCGCCGAGGCCGCCGCCGUCGUGCCGCGUGCCGCGCGUGGGCCGCACCAUGCGGGCGCGUGGAGAAGCCGCGGUCGCGGGGCGAGGCCGCGUCGUCGGGCGAGCGGGGACCGCGAGCGGAGGCCGCGCCGCGCAGGCGCGUGGGGCCGCCCGUGGCCGCGCCGUGCGGGCGCGUGAAGCCGCGGGGGACGCCGCCGUCGGGGGCCGCGCAGGCCGCCGUGUGCCGCGCGGCGCGCGUGGGCCGCGCCGUGCGGGCGAACGGGAGCCGCGGCGCCGGGUCGCCGUGCCGAGGCCGGGCGUCGCGCGAGGCCACCGCUCGGGGCAGGCCGCUGAAGUCGCGCGGUGGUCCGUCGAGUCCGCGAACGGCACCUCCUCCCCCUCCCCCUCUCCCCCAGUGACGUUCUCAAGCCGGGGGAGCGCGUCCCCGAGCCGAUGGCCCGUGGGGGACGCUGAUCCACGUGCGGCGGAGACGCGGGGGCGGAGUUGGUGGCGGCGGUGGUGGAGCAGCGAGCGCUGGGUCGACGAAGUACGGCGGCAGACGAGUCGGCGCCGACAUCCGCGCCGCGAUUGUUGGUGGAGACGGACGGCGCGGAGGCGGGCUGUGCGCAGCCCGCUCAGAAGACGGCGUCGGCGUCGGGUACCGAAUCGGCGACUGAGGCUCUAUGCCCAGUGACAGCCAUUGGCUGGCCACCAUGGAUGGUGGCGGUGGUGGGCACGGGCCGUCGCCGUGGAGCGGGCACCGAGGCCGGGGUGGAGCCGGCAAGGCGAGGACCGGCGCUGGAGGCGCCGGUGGAGUUGGUACCCUCGAUGGUGGCGCCGCGGGCGGAGCCGCGGAUGGCGCCGCGGGCGAAGCCGUGGACGACACCACCGAACGCCGUGACGGAGGGCCGACGUUUGCAUGUCGGUUUCCCCCGAAACGACGUCGUACAGGAAAACGCCCGGGGUUCCUGUUGAGAUCACGGCGUUCGCCACGAAAGCGAUAGCCGCGAGCCUCGCCAAGGAGUUCCCGGAUGUCCUCCAGUAGUUCCGCCUGAAGGCGGUUGUUGCCAAAGUGUGUGCCCAAUGUCCGGGCACGGUUCAUCGCCAUCCAGACGAUUUGGAGGAUGAGAGAAGCCAUUGAGGCAUGAUUACGGCGAGGGAAAGGCAUGAUUCUACCUUGGGGUGAUGCCCUAGGCGAAGGUCGAUCCCUCGACGGUGUUCUAUUCAACCGAGCUAUUCCCCUCUGGGGCAGGGGAGAGCGAUGUGCUGAUAACGUGUUACGAGUAGAAUGCGAGAGUACGAGAACAGAGAGGAAUAGAAUGAACUCAGGUGUUUCUUUAUUCAUUGAUCACGGGUAUUUAUACAGUCGGGGGGGGAGAGGAAACUCUCGCCCCAAGUAAACUCGUGCCCACGAUGAGUCGUGGGUGAUAUCACGGAGGUGGAACCGGUCUCCACGGGUACGUGCGUAGUCUUGGGUGAUAUCCCGUGGGCCAUCGUGGGGGAAGUCGUAGUUAGGAUAGAUCUCCCGUAAAGGGAAUCCGAGGAGAUGAGAUCACCCCGG
Molecule: long non-coding RNA, 10447 nt
Filed under: Sorghum bicolor (sorghum)
Lineage: Eukaryota; Viridiplantae; Streptophyta; Magnoliopsida; Poales; Poaceae
Description: long non-coding RNA (SBIC_LNC017041)
Source: RNAcentral